GACGAACGCUGGCGGCGUGCUUAACACAUGCAAGUCGAACGGAAAGGCCCUGCUUUUGUGGGGUGCUCGAGUGGCGAACGGGUGAGUAACACGUGAGUAACCUGCCCUUGACUUUGGGAUAACUUCAGGAAACUGGGGCUAAUACCGGAUAGGAGCUCCUGCUGCAUGGUGGGGGUUGGAAAGUUUCGGCGGUUGGGGAUGGACUCGCGGCUUAUCAGCUUGUUGGUGGGGUAGUGGCUUACCAAGGCUUUGACGGGUAGCCGGCCUGAGAGGGUGACCGGCCACAUUGGGACUGAGAUACGGCUCAGACUCCUACGGGAGGCAGCAGUGGGGAAUAUUGCACAAUGGGCGGAAGCCUGAUGCAGCAACGCCGCGUGCGGGAUGACGGCCUUCGGGUUGUAAACCGCUUUCGCCUGUGACGAAGCGUGAGUGACGGUAAUGGGUAAAGAAGCACCGGCUAACUACGUGCCAGCAGCCGCGGUGAUACGUAGGGUGCGAGCGUUGUCCGGAUUUAUUGGGCGUAAAGGGCUCGUAGGUGGUUGAUCGCGUCGGAAGUGUAAUCUUGGGGCUUAACCCUGAGCGUGCUUUCGAUACGGGUUGACUUGAGGAAGGUAGGGGAGACUGGAAUUCCUGGUGGAGCGGUGGAAUGCGCAGAUAUCAGGAGGAACACCAGUGGCGAAGGCGGUUCUCUGGGCCUUUCCUGACGCUGAGGAGCGAAAGCGUGGGGAGCGAACAGGCUUAGAUACCCUGGUAGUCCACGCUGUAAACGGUGGGUACUAGGUGUGGGGUCCAUUCCACGGGUUCCGUGCCGUAGCUAACGCUUUAAGUACCCCGCCUGGGGAGUACGGCCGCAAGGCUAAAACUCAAAGGAAUUGACGGGGCCCCGCACAAGCGGCGGAGCAUGCGGAUUAAUUCGAUGCAACGCGUAGAACCUUACCUGGGUUUGACAUGGAUCGGGAGUGCUCAGAGAUGGGUGUGCCUCUUUUGGGGUCGGUUCACAGGUGGUGCAUGGCUGUCGUCAGCUCGUGUCGUGAGAUGUUGGGUUAAGUCCCGCAACGAGCGCAACCCUUGUUCACUGUUGCCAGCACGUUAUGGUGGGGACUCAGUGGAGACCGCCGGGGUCAACUCGGAGGAAGGUGGGGAUGACGUCAAGUCAUCAUGCCCCUUAUGUCCAGGGCUUCACGCAUGCUACAAUGGCUGGUACAGAGAGUGGCGAGCCUGUGAGGGUGAGCGAAUCUCGGAAAGCCGGUCUCAGUUCGGAUUGGGGUCUGCAACUCGACCUCAUGAAGUCGGAGUCGCUAGUAAUCGCAGAUCAGCAACGCUGCGGUGAAUACGUUCCCGGG
This 1343-nucleotide ribosomal RNA is filed under the name uncultured bacterium. RNAcentral's name for it is "16S ribosomal RNA". It matches the Rfam family "Bacterial small subunit ribosomal RNA", at positions 28 to 1378 of the family's 1533-position model. The record is from RNAcentral.